Molecule: long non-coding RNA, 4335 nt
Filed under: Podarcis lilfordi (Lilford's wall lizard)
Lineage: Eukaryota; Metazoa; Chordata; Lepidosauria; Squamata; Lacertidae
Source: RNAcentral
CUAUUACUGUGGAUCAUGGAAUAAAGUAUUGGCAGUUAUUGAAGGGGCUGACACUGACACAUCCAAAGAUAUUUCCACCAUGUCAAGCAUCUACAAAACCCCACAGGUAUGAAUGUCAGGAGGGAAGGAAAAGUCCCAGAAUGUUAUUGCAAUUUCUUUGGAAAGAUGUGAAAAUGUUGUUCAUGAUUCUAAGGCAGAAGGAGAGAUUGGCCUCAACCCCCUCUUAACAAAGAUGACUCAGGAGAUUCUGGACUCAUCCACACUUAGAAAGCAAAGGUCUGAGUGGCUUUCCAUUUGCCCUGUGGUUUUUUGGCAUGGAUCUGAGAAUUUCCCCCUUAGCCUACUCCUUUCCCACAGAAAAUCUGUUCUUUCCCUCUAAACCAGAAAAAAGCACCAAUCUGUGAUUUUGCCCAAGGAAAGCAAUGGGACAUGGGGAAGUGUGGAUAAGCCCUUAGUUGAGUCUUCAAGAUCCCACAGGUAUAAAUGGUGUGAAUUAUGGAGAAGGGUCUUGGAGGAAAUUGUCAAAAUUCAUGCAGGAGAAUGGAAUAUUUCAGUUAUGUGGAUUCCUAGCCAUCAAAACUGAAAUAACAAUAAAUAAAUAAAUAAAUAAAUAAAUAAAUAAAUAAAUAAGUAAUAAAAGCUAGUGCCAUGUGUGAUAUACAUGAGCAAUUAUGCAAAAGGAAACAUUCAAUAAACAAGAGGCAAAAUACUUGGUUUCUAAUUUGCUACAUAUCGUGUCUAUACAAGUUAAACAGAGCCAGUCCUGGGGUCAUGAGUUCUGUCUGCCUUAGAAGAAGGGAUAAUUCUGUAAACACAUUUUCCCACAACUUUUCAUUUUGUGACACUCCAAACACAUGUGUUGAUAUGUCCCUGUAGUGGAACAUCCUUUCCAACACAUGGGAUAACUGUUGAGUUUUGCAAUACUUCAAGGAAUGCCUAGAAAGAUCUGAAAUAUAAUGUCUAGUAAAAAUAAAUUUCCAAACCAAUUUCCAAACACGAAACUGACUCGUGUGGAGAAUCGAUACUUUAGCUAUUAUAGGUCUAAUGUGAGCUACAAAUGGUCGUUGUGAUUGUGUGUGAGCUUUUUCCUUUUUAACAGUAUCUAUUUUUCAUAAAUUUUGAUGAUUUAAUGAAUAAAUAAUGAUUAAAUCAUAUAAUACAAUUAGAUAAAUUUGCUACAAGAAACAUGUUGUAAAAGCAAUAACAAAAAUGCCAUCAGGGCAAACACAACACAUUGCAAAGACUCUGUCACCUUUUUUUGAAAGCAAACAAUGAAAUAUGGUAUAUUGUUUUUUUUUAAAUGAUAUUUAUUACUUUUUUAACAUUUCCAACACAAACAAAAAAAGAAAAAACAAAAAAGAAAAAACAAUGCAAAUACAAUACAAAAACGCUACAUGAACUAAAAAAUAAAAAUAAAAACAAGCAAAAACAGUUUAAAAUCACCUCAAAGAUUUUCAAUAUCUUAUAUUUCAUUCACUUAUUUCCAGCGACCUCCUCCCACCUCCCUUUUUGUAUUCCACUUCUAUUAUUUGUUUCAGCAAUUCCUUUCCAUCUUACUCUGUUUUCUGUUCUAUAAUUAUCUUUACACAUUCUUGCCAUACUUUUCCUUAAUUAUUCUAUUAAUUUAUACCUAAUUCCUUAUGAUUAAUUUAUACCUAAUUCCUUAUGACAUUUCUGCUAAAGCCAUAUAAUUUCAUUCCAACAUUUUUCUAACAUUCCUUAAUUUACAAUAUCUAUAUAAAUGGUCUUUAAACUUUUUCCAAUCUUCUUCCACCGACUCUUCACCCUGGUCUCGGAUCUUGCCAGUCAUUUCUGCCAAUUCCAUAUAGUCCAUCAAUUUCAUCUGCCAUUGUCCAACGCUUCAAUGUUUUCAAAAAACAACCAUUCUCUCAACCAGCAAAAAGCAGAUGGUUCACAGCAAAAUUUAAAGGUCUGGCAGGGCGGGUCCUCCUCCUUCUUUGGCAUCCAUCAAUAUCUUAAGUUUUACUCGAGGCUUCCUGCCCUGCCACACAACUCUAGGAGCAUCCCUCUGCCACCUCCUGAAACCCUCCAUCCCAUCCAAAGCUUGCAGUGUUUGAAACAAAAGCAACAUCCCCGACAACACAGCAGCCCUCAUCCCCACCACAAUAACUCGGCCCAACAGUGACAACUUCUGAUUUGUCCAUAUUUCCAAAUCCCCCUUCUCUUCAAUCCAACAUCCUUCACAGUUAUCCUUAAGCAGAUUCACAUUUUUUGGCAGUCAUGUCAACCCCCAAAUACCUCUCUUUCUUAACCAAUGUUAGUAUCGUCUCCUGAAACUCUGUCAAGCUUUCCUUUUCCAAUUCAGAUAAGGCUCUGGUCCUCAAAUUCUUCCGUUCUUCUUUAAGUUCAAUCAUAACGAAUGUCAACUUAUGUUCGUCAGGUUGUCUUUGUAUGGAUGGGACUCUCCUCUCCAGUUGUAUUAUUUUAGAUUCAGCAGCAAGGGUUUUUCCCCUGAUCUGCAGUUUGCCAUAUCAAAGUAGAUUCCUGUGUCAGUUUCUGAGUGGUUUCUGAAUUAGUAUUCACCUUUUGUCCCAAGUUAUUUAAGCUUUCUACAGUUGAGUCAACUUCAAUAUUUGCAACAUCCAAUUUCACAUUUCUCGCAUCUAUUUUCUUUUGGAAUUGUUCCAGCGAAUCGUUUAUUUUCAAUAAUGCAGCCACUAAGGCCUCCUCUGUCAACAUCCCGUCAAUUUUUUCCUUUCCGUUUGCCAUAACACUCAAAAGAUUCAAGGUCAAUCCCAAAGUCUCACACUUUCUUAUCUUGCAGCUGGAAAAUCCCCUAGCCCAGCUCCUAUCAAGUAACCAAUUUCAAAAGCUUCCACUAGGGGAAAGCGAGUUGUAUUUGUAUCGGUCAGUAUGUCCUCUUUUAAACACAGUUUCAAUAAUCCAAAAUUAGUUUCAAUUUUCAGUUACUUUCCUCCUUUUUUAAUAAAGUUCAGUAAGGUUGUUUCAAUUUUCCGUUACUUUAUUCCUUUUUAAGUGCAGACGAAGACAAUGGAAACAAUGUAUCUCUUUUAUGCUAGCUGUCACCGAUCGUUCUAUUCGCUGUCAAUGAACCUUCCAAGGCACGUCGAUUUUACUGGCAGCCCGUUUCCAGGUUCGGGACGGUGGUAUUUUAACUUCCUCACUCACUCCUGCAGGGAUAUACAAUCCAAAGCCUCCCCCCUCUUCUCCUGCUUCCAAGGGGGGUUUAAUAUUUUUUACUGAUGAGAAUUUAGUCCUUUACAAUGGGCUUUCCAAGACUUUAGCUUACAGCCUCUUUGCCUCAGUCUUAUUUACAAAAAGGGGAGGUGGACUUCCUGUUUUGAACCUCCCCGUUUCGGUGCCAAAUUAAAACGUUUAAAAAUCCAAUUCUUCACUCUACUCACGGGUAGUUGCUUUAAAAUCAAAUUGUCCACAGGAAAAAGUCAGCGCUCUCCGGCAACAGCUAUGCGGCUUCGCUUCGAUCCAAAGCACCGUGCCGCUCACCCCACAUCGCUCCGGAUCCCCGAAACCGGGUUUCCCUGCGAGUAGGGGAGGCGCAAAAGGUGCCUGCCGAAUCCUACGUUCACAGGCUUCAACCGCCUGUGAUUUUUAGUGGGUCUCCACCUUCGCCGUGGCGGCCAGACCCAAAUUUCCACGAGGCAAAUUCCUCCCAAUCAGAGGAAUUCCGCCAUUGCCGGUGGCGCCAACCCGGAAGUCGAAAUAUGGUAUAUUGUUAAGCUCCCCUGGGAUAUUGUUUUCAAUGUCAGAGAAAAGUUAUCAUUCAGGCCAAUAUAAAGUACUAUGUUUGGGAUUCUGUAGGCAAUAAUCUCUUCUGUUCUUUACUAGGUCAGUUACGGUUUUGUUUCUGAUGCUCUUAAUGACAAAACUCAGUUCCCUUUUGUCUACCGAAUGGUCCCCAAAGAGGAACAUCAGUACCUGGGGAUAGUCCAACUGCUCCUGCACUUCAACUGGACUUGGAUUGGCCUCGUUGCUCCAGACACCAACAAUGGAGAGAGGUUCAUGAGGACCUUUAGGCCCCUGCUAACCAGGAACACAAUUUGUGCUGCCUUCUCACUAAGCAUCCCAGUACAGGAUAUGGAAAUACCGUCACCUUCCAAAACAUUUUUCAUGUGGAACAAAGUCAAUGUAUUAGUCUACUAUGGGGAGAAUCGUUACUUCUAUAGUUCAAUAUCUAUUUUGCAAUUCAUAGUUGAAAAGCAUGUAAGACCCAUUGUGGGGAAAAUCUGGAUCACAACAGCUUUGUGGAACAUCACUGGGAACUUGUCUUACAAUAUUCUUUCUCCCCUGCACAUUCAUGGGUUUUUCUCUUUCUUAACUCGUAUUAAAAGAAGG